CCUACGGGAGGCAGCAGUGGGGCAUAUUGGGCAAUGGAGGCAACUCUGACCCAGCAAUGCCGCGUGAGUGAUGCAGGUAAUUUUAUUGUAAAGCUCUUUUCUUUGGAACGAAUAAAUGACGUUACCAACGGAAUAAGCCCCGGCUAACUACGUGCCAGCAGCCGCGGUAAUACGUAGGGGGCAAGCGUUGUUCGGGAUGACUGGGCGUAAAGGGUGUGUAGGUGGUUUGAUAAGUUAGUUGUGUAAUACCCAGGGCUUAACUCGGGUGCUGCAUCUAAAACUGUUAGAUGUGAGGACUGGAGAGGAUAGUGGAAUUCCUAGUGGAGCGGUGGAAUGCGUAGAUAUUAGGAGGAACAUCAGGGGCGAAGGCGACUAUCGGGACAGCAACUGACACUGAGGCACGAAAGCGUGGGGAGCAAACAGGAUUAGAUACCCCAGUAGUC
This 443-nucleotide ribosomal RNA is filed under the name uncultured bacterium. Its description in RNAcentral is "partial 16S ribosomal RNA". It matches the Rfam family "Bacterial small subunit ribosomal RNA", at positions 338 to 795 of the family's 1533-position model. The record is from RNAcentral.